AGCAGCGUGGCUUAGUGGAAAGAGCACGGGCUUGGGAGCCAGAGGUCAUGGGUUCGAAUCUUAGCUCUGCCA
Molecule: transfer RNA, 72 nt
Filed under: Ornithorhynchus anatinus (platypus)
Lineage: Eukaryota; Metazoa; Chordata; Mammalia; Monotremata; Ornithorhynchidae
Rfam family: tRNA
About the family: Transfer RNA (tRNA) molecules are approximately 80 nucleotides in length. Their secondary structure includes four short double-helical elements and three loops (D, anti-codon, and T loops).
Source: Rfam by way of RNAcentral